AUUGAACGCUGGCGGCAGGCCUAACACAUGCGAGUCGAGCGGAUGAAGGGAGCUUGCUCCUGGAUUCAGCGGCGGACGGGUGAGUAAUGCCUAGGAAUCUGCCCGGUAGUGGGGGAUAACGUCCGGAAACGGGCGCUAAUACCGCAUACGUCCUGAGGGAGAAAGUGGGGGAUCUUCGGACCUCACGCUAUCAGAUGAGCCUAGGUCGGAUUAGCUAGUUGGUGGGGUAAAGGCCUACCAAGGCGACGAUCCGUAACUGGUCUGAGAGGAUGAUCAGUCACACUGGAACUGAGACACGGUCCAGACUCCUACGGGAGGCAGCAGUGGGGAAUAUUGGACAAUGGGCGAAAGCCUGAUCCAGCCAUGCCGCGUGUGUGAAGAAGGUCUUCGGAUUGUAAAGCACUUUAAGUUGGGAGGAAGGGCAGUAAGUUAAUACCUUGCUGUUUUGACGUUACCAACAGAAUAAGCACCGGCUAACUUCGUG
RNAcentral lists this ribosomal RNA (484 nucleotides) under uncultured bacterium. Its description in RNAcentral is "partial 16S ribosomal RNA". It matches the Rfam family "Bacterial small subunit ribosomal RNA", at positions 30 to 507 of the family's 1533-position model. The record is from RNAcentral.